RNAcentral lists this long non-coding RNA (1890 nucleotides) under Heterocephalus glaber (naked mole-rat). RNAcentral's name for it is "lncRNA (ENSHGLG00100043374.1)". Lineage: Eukaryota; Metazoa; Chordata; Mammalia; Rodentia; Bathyergidae. The record is from RNAcentral.
CGCGGACCCCGAUGUAUGUGGGGGCUGGUCACCCGGGAUCGUGUGUUCUCUGUUAGGGAUUGAAACUAGCUUUUCCGGAUAGCGCGGGACUGGUCUGACUGAGGUCCUGCAGCUUGCUGGUGAAGGUGAAUAGGCACAGGGGAGGGAGGGGACGUAGAAAGAACUGAAAUGGUUGUAUGCAGGCACCGACUCCCUCGUGGCAGCCCAGCAUCAUUUUCUGCAGGCAUGUGCUCAUGAAAGUUAACAAAAGAAAAUGAAACGAGAACUGGACUUGGGGACCUGGGGCGGAGACGGGGACUGAGGCAGGCGUCUCACUCUCGGGCUCCCUACGGAGGACACCAGGGAGCGGUGACAGGAAGCGUGAGACAGACAGCGAGCAGGUGACAGGAAGUGUGAAACUCUCCCCCUGGGGGUACCCUGGGGCAACGAUGCCCACAGCCUUGGUGUCCAGCUGCCUAGGAGAGGCCCAAGUGCCAGGGCCCCGAUGGGCACCUGCACAGGACGGAGCAGUGGCUUUGAAUGGCCCACGGCCAGGGCUGAUGUGGACAGGGCCGACUCAUCCCUGUGUUCAUGGCCCGCCCGGCUCAGGGGUGGACCGCACUUCCCAGCCUCCUCUGCACCACCAUGGCCGCUUGACCAGGGCUGGCCAAUAGGGUGUGUGCAGGGUGGAUGCUGCCCAGGCCCUGUCCCUAACCCGGACCCACUGCCCAGGGAGUGAGCUCCCGAUAACCAUGACGUGGGGGAGAAAUAAGCUUUAUUUAUUUUUUUGUUUUGUUUUGUUUGUUUUUUGAGACUCUUUUUUUUUUUGGGUACUGGGGAUCGAACUCGGGUCCUUGAACUUGCACAGCAGGUUGCAAAACCACUGAGCUAAAUCCCUGGCCCAAACAAGUAGUUUUUUUUUUUUGUACCGGGGAUCCAACUCGGGACCUUGGGCUUGCAAGGCAGGCAGCGGCAGCACUGAGCUAAAUGUCCGGCCCUGUUUUGUUUGUUUUGAGACAGGGGCUUGCUAUGUACUCCAGGCUGGCCUUGAACUCACUAUGUAGUCCAGGCUGGCCUCUGAUUUGCAGGGAUCCUCCUGCCGCAGGCUCCUGAGUGCUAGGAUUACUGACGUGCCCAGCAAGAAAUAAGCUUUCUUGUGUUAAGCCAGUGGGUUGAUCUGGAAGAGUGUAUCACGGGCCACAGCCUUGCCCAUUCCACUAACUUCACAGUUUAACCCAGAAAUCGGCAAACUCCUAACCAACUUCCCUUGCACUGAGUUAAUGUUUAGUUCUGGAGGUCACAUGCUUGCCACUUACUGUCCCAGUCAGGCCAGGAAGUACCCAGAGUCACCCAGGGGUGCCAGCCUCAUGGUCCCUGCUUCCACGUGUGACGGCGGCCCUGCCGCCUCAGGGUCCAGGCCCCUCACCCCUGCCAGGCUGGUGAUGCCUCCCUGUGCCUGCUGGUCUCUUGACACGAGGAGCCCACAGUGACCAGUGGCAGCGGUGGCCAGCCCCUGGUGGCAGCAUCCCUCUGAGGAAGCCACAGCCUCCCCUGCAGGGUGCACGGGGUGUGGAGGGAGGACCUCCCCACUCCUUGCAUCCUUUGGUCCUGCGACCUUGGCGGAUCCUGGGGGCACCAGCCAACCCACUGGGCUCCCCACGAGCCUGGAGAGCAGUGCUGACCAUCCUGACCAGCGCUUCCUGGCUGGGCACGGUGCCGGUCCGAGAGAGCCCUGCUGCUGGAUGGGUCCCUUGGAAACGUGCGUGAUUUCGGGCGCUGCGACCGGAAAUGUCUUCAUCCUCCUGGACACUGGAUUUACAUUCGGGGGGAUUUAUCCAAGAAAAUUAUCCAUAAAAAGUGAUAAAUCUUUAUGCCUAAAGAUACCUACUGCAGAAUUAUUUAACAAUAGAC